RNAcentral lists this long non-coding RNA (338 nucleotides) under Cricetulus griseus (Chinese hamster). RNAcentral's name for it is "lncRNA (ENSCGRG00000025789.1)". Lineage: Eukaryota; Metazoa; Chordata; Mammalia; Rodentia; Cricetidae. The record is from RNAcentral.
GUACAAGUAGGAAAGUCCUUGGUUUCUAUUUGAGCUCCUCCAUGGAGGGUCUACUCAGGGCCUUGGUAGACAUUACCUCUCUGCUGCCAUUUGUCCAGCACCUGGGACGGAAAAGAGUGAUACAGAGAGAUUGCACUUCAGUUGCCACCAACUUAAAGCAUUGAUUUCAGAACUGCCUGGAGCAACACACACCUUCCCAGUGCAGGAGCUAGAGUGGAUGAGUCUGGGGCCAGCAGAGGAAGCUCUUCUGCAGUGACUCAGGGCAGCUGGCAUAUUAAGUACCACUUAACAUUGUUGCUCAUUUCUUUGCAAGUACCAGGUAUGUGGGGUAACAGAAG